Molecule: ribosomal RNA, 741 nt
Filed under: uncultured bacterium
Lineage: Bacteria
Description: bacterial SSU rRNA
Rfam family: Bacterial small subunit ribosomal RNA
Source: RNAcentral
AGAGUUUGAUCCUGGCUCAGAAUCAACGCUGGCGGCGUGCCUAACACAUGCAAGUCGAACGCGAAAGUCCCGCAAGGGAUAAGUAGAGUGGCAAACGGGUGAGUAACACGUGGGUGACCUGCCUUCGAGCGGGGGAUAACGUCCCGAAAGGGACGCUAAUACCGCAUGACAUCCUGCCUUUGAAGAGGUGGAGAUCAAAGCUGGGGAUCGCAAGACCUAGCACUCGAAGAGGGGCCCGCGCCUGAUUAGCUAGUUGGUGGGGUAACGGCUCACCAAGGCGACGAUCAGUAGCCGGCCUGAGAGGGCGGACGGCCACACUGGGACUGAGACACGGCCCAGACUCCUACGGGAGGCAGCAGUGGGGAAUUGUUCGCAAUGGGCGCAAGCCUGACGACGCAACGCCGCGUGGAGGACGAAGACCUUCGGGUCGUAAACUCCUUUCGAUCGAGACGAACGGCCUCCGGGUGAACAAUCCGGAGGAAUGACGGUACCGAGAGAAGAAGCCCCGGCUAACUCCGUGCCAGCAGCCGCGGUAAUACGGGGGGGGCAAGCGUUGUUCGGAAUUACUGGGCGUAAAGGGCUCGUAGGUGGCCAACUAAGUCAGACGUGAAAUCCCUCGGCUUAACCGGGGAACUGCGUCUGAUACUGGACGGCUUGAGAUUGGGAGAGGGAUGCGGAAUUCCAGGUGUAGCGGUGAAAUGCGUAGAUAUCUGGAGGAAACACCGGUGGCNAAGGCGGCAU